UUCUGACCGUAAACGAUGCCAACUAGCGAUCCGCCGGUGGCUUUUUGGCCCUGGUGGGGAGCUUCCCGGAAACGAAAGUCUUCCGGUUCCGGGGGAAGUAUGGUUGCAAAGCUGAAACUUAAAGGAAUUGACGGAAGGGCACCACCAGGAGUGGAGCCUGCGGCUUAAUUUGACUCAACACGGGAAAACUCACCCGGCCCGGACACCGUGAGGAUUGACAGAUUGAUAGCUUUUUCAUGAUUCGGUGGUUGGUGGUGCAUGGCCGUUCUUAGUUCGUGGAUCGAUUUGUCUGGUUUAUUCCGAUAACGAGCGAGACUCCAGCCUACUAACUAGUGCGGGCAUUGUUUCUGUGCUUGUCACUUCUUAGAGGGAUUGGCUGCGUCUAGCGGCACGAAACGGAGCAAUAACAGGUCUGUGAUGCCCUUAGAUGUCCGGGGCUGCACGCGCGCUACACUGGCAAAAGCAACGUGCUUGUCCGCCUCCGAAAGGAGCCGGUAAACCCUUGAAAAUUUGCCGUGAUUGGGAUCGGAAAUUGCAAUUAUUUUCCGUGAACGAGGAAUUCCUAGUAAGUGCGAGUCAUCAGCUCGCGUUG
RNAcentral lists this ribosomal RNA (592 nucleotides) under Criconema sp. TSH-2009. Its description in RNAcentral is "SSU rRNA". It matches the Rfam family "Eukaryotic small subunit ribosomal RNA", at positions 1024 to 1643 of the family's 1831-position model. RNAcentral also lists the same sequence under 1 other name. The record is from RNAcentral. Lineage: Eukaryota; Metazoa; Nematoda; Chromadorea; Rhabditida; Criconematidae.